CUAAGGUCCCCUAGUAACUGCGAGUGAAGCGGGAAAAGCUCAAAUUUGAAAUCUGGCGGUUCUGCCGUCCGAGUUGUAUUCUGGAGAAGCGUUUUCUGUGCCGGACCGUGUACAAGUGCCUUGGAACAGGACGUCAUAGAGGGUGAGAAUCCCGUCUCUGACACGGACCCCCCGGUGCUCUGUGAUGCGCUCUCGAAGAGUCGAGUUGUUUGGGAAUGCAGCUCAAAACGGGUGGUAAAUUCCAUCUAAAGCUAAAUAUUGGCGAGAGACCGAUAGCGAACAAGUACCGUGAGGGAAAGAUGAAAAGCACUUUGGAAAGAGAGUAAAACAGUACGUGAAAUUGUUGAAAGGGAAACGCUUGAAGUCAGUCGCGUCUGCCGGAACUCAGCCUUGCUUCUGCUUGGUGCACUUUCCGGUCCGACGGGCCAGCAUCGGUUUCGUGCGGCGGACACGGGUGGGAGGAAGGUGGCGGCCCUGGCCGCGUUAUAGCCUCCCAUCGCAAACGUCGCGUGGGACCGAGGAAUCCGGCGCAAGCCUGGGAUGCUGGCGUAAUGGCUUUAAACGACCCGUCUUGAAACACGGACCAAGGAGUGCUACGUGCUCGCGAGUGUUUGGGUGGAAAACCCAGGCGCGCAAUGAAAGUGAAAGUCGAUACCCCUUGCGGGGGCACCGACGCCCGAGCCUGAUGUUUUCGGACGGCCUUGCGGUAGAGCGAGUGCGUUGCGACCCGAAAGAUGGUGAACUAUUCCUGAGGAGGGCGAACCAGAGGAAACUCUGGUGGAGCUCGUACGGUUCUGACGUGCAAAUCGAUCGCAGACUUGGGUAUAGGGGGCGAAAGACUAAUCGAACCAUCUAGUAGCUGGUUCCUGCCGAAUUCCCUCAAA
RNAcentral lists this ribosomal RNA (884 nucleotides) under Trechispora sp. RNAcentral's name for it is "partial large subunit ribosomal RNA". It matches the Rfam family "Eukaryotic large subunit ribosomal RNA", at positions 69 to 975 of the family's 3401-position model. The record is from RNAcentral. Lineage: Eukaryota; Fungi; Basidiomycota; Agaricomycetes; Trechisporales; Hydnodontaceae.